This 407-nucleotide ribosomal RNA is filed under the name uncultured bacterium. Its description in RNAcentral is "partial 16S ribosomal RNA". It matches the Rfam family "Bacterial small subunit ribosomal RNA", at positions 30 to 526 of the family's 1533-position model. The record is from RNAcentral.
AUUGAACGCUGGCGGCAGGCCUAACACAUGCAAGUCGAGCGGAGCGGCGGACGGGUGAGUGAUGCCUAUGAAUGUGCCUGGUCGUGGGGGAGAACGUCCUGGAACGGGCGGUAAUACUGCAUACUAUCGGAUGAGCCUAGGUCGGUUUGGCUAGGUGGUGGGGGAAAGGCCUACCAAGGCGACGAUCCGUAACUGGUCUGAGUGGGAGAGCAGUCACACUGGAACUGAGACACGGUCCAGACUCCUACGGGAGGCAGCAGUGGGGAAUAUUGCACAAUGGGCGAAAGCCUGAUGCAGCCAUGCCGCGUGUGUGAAGAAGGCCUUCGGAUUGUAAAGUACUUUAAGCUGGGAGGCGUUACCAACAGAAGAAGCACCGGCUAACUUCGUGCCAGCAGCCGCGGUAAUUC